Molecule: transfer RNA, 76 nt
Filed under: Mumia flava
Lineage: Bacteria; Bacillati; Actinomycetota; Actinomycetes; Propionibacteriales; Nocardioidaceae
Description: tRNA-Asn
Rfam family: tRNA
About the family: Transfer RNA (tRNA) molecules are approximately 80 nucleotides in length.
Source: RNAcentral
UCCCCUGUAGCUCAAUUGGCAGAGCAAUCGGCUGUUAACCGAUAGGUUACUGGUUCGAGUCCAGUCGGGGGAGCCA